Molecule: long non-coding RNA, 802 nt
Filed under: Strix occidentalis caurina (northern spotted owl)
Lineage: Eukaryota; Metazoa; Chordata; Aves; Strigiformes; Strigidae
Description: lncRNA (ENSSOCG00000009642.1)
Source: RNAcentral
GUUCGCAGACACUGAUGUGCUGUUUCAUUGUUGUUUCAGUCAGGAGGUAAAAGCAGUGCUGCUCUCCAUUUUUCCCGAGCUGUCUGCCGCAGAGCUGAAAGGUGGUGAGUGUUGGCUGUAGUGUAACAGCAUAAAAUUGAUAAAAAGUGAUCAGAAUGCUGUAAUGAUAGCAAAUCGUUGCGGUCGGAGCAGUCAGCCAUCGCUGUAUUGCGCUCGGCUAGAGCUCGAGUCAAGCUUCGUGUGUUUGUAUUAGUCAAAUUCCAGGGGUGCAGUCAGCAAAUAGCAAGUCUCUCUUCCCUCCCUAACUGGGUCAUCCGAGCCAAGACCUUCAGAAAGGACAGCCAGGUUUAUGUUGAGAUGCAUCGAUGUGUUCAGCUCGUACCUGGUUUGCUGAAUGUAUUUUGUAGGCACACGAGGCAGCUGGGGCACUGGCAGGUGUGAGAGCCAGGGAAGCUUUUAGCAGCUGAAGAUGUUCCUGCCCACACCUACCUUGUCCCACUUCCCUAUUGGAGAUGAAAACUCCCGUGCGUGGUUCCUUUAGUACAAGCAGGGGAAGCAGAUCCAAACGUGGCCAAAUAUUUGAACAGACUGAGCGACUAUCUCUUCGUUUUGGCACGUUACGCUGCAAUGAAGGAAGGGAAGGAAGAGAAAAUAUAUAUAAAGCCUGAAGCGUAACUGGGAGCUGGAAUGUUUGUUUCCUUGAUCACGGGAAGCUAAUUCCAGCAGACUGCUCUACCCCGUCAAGGAAUGGAAAGAGAACAAGCCUGGGUUGGAAAUGUGAGCUGCCAAGAACUUUCAGCUU